GAUGAACGCUGGCGGCGUGCCUAAUACAUGCAAGUCGAGCGAACGGACGAGAAGCUUGCUUUUCUGAUGUUAGCGGCGGACGGGUGAGUAACACGUGGAUAACCUACCUAUAAGACUGGGAUAACUUCGGGAAACCGGAGCUAAUACCGGAUAAUAUUUUGAACCGCAUGGUUCAAAAGUGAAAGACGGUCUUGCUGUCACUUAUAGAUGGAUCCGCGCUGCAUUAGCUAGUUGGUAAGGUAACGGCUUACCAAGGCAACGAUGCAUAGCCGACCUGAGAGGGUGAUCGGGCACACUGGAACUGAGAAACGGUCCAGACUCCUACGGGAGGCAGCAGUAGGGAAUCUUCCGCAAUGGGCGAAAGCCUGACGGAGCAACGCCGCGUGAGUGAUGAAGGUCUUCGGAUCGUAAAACUCUGUUAUUAGGGAAGAACAUAUGUGUAAGUAACUGUGCACAUCUUGACGGUACCUAAUCAGAAAGCCACGGCUAACUACGUG
Molecule: ribosomal RNA, 497 nt
Filed under: uncultured bacterium
Lineage: Bacteria
Description: partial 16S ribosomal RNA
Rfam family: Bacterial small subunit ribosomal RNA
Source: RNAcentral